CACGUAGGCGGUCUGUUAUGUCGGAUGUGAAAGCCCUUGGCUCAACUGAGGAAGUGCAUCCGAAACUGGCAGGCUAGAGUACUAAAGAGGGUCGCGGAAUUCCCGGUGUAGAGGUGAAAUUCGUAGAUAUCGGGAGGAACACCGGUGGCGAAGGCGGCGACCUGGGUAGAUACUGACGCUGAGGUGCGAAAGCGUGGGGAGCAAACA
RNAcentral lists this ribosomal RNA (207 nucleotides) under uncultured bacterium. RNAcentral describes it as "partial 16S ribosomal RNA". It matches the Rfam family "Bacterial small subunit ribosomal RNA", at positions 568 to 774 of the family's 1533-position model. The record is from RNAcentral.